Molecule: small RNA, 418 nt
Filed under: Pan troglodytes (chimpanzee)
Lineage: Eukaryota; Metazoa; Chordata; Mammalia; Primates; Hominidae
Description: processed transcript
Source: RNAcentral
CCUCAUGGUGGUUACAUGUCUAUUUCUUGAUAUCAUAAAGAAGGUCUUUGACCGACACCUCCACCCUACAAGUACUGAAAAGGCACAGAUGUACUCCAACACAGUUGCUUUAAGUGACGAGUUCAUCGCACUGCAGCCAUUGUCGAGGGCAAGGAAUCAGCUGAGCAAACUUAGAUGGAAGAAGAUAAGGGUUCAGUCAGCUCAGCAUAUGAAUUUGCUGAAAGCCAGCACAGAGGGGAGGACAGUAGGCACCUGCUAGCUGAGGCUUGCAGCCAGCAGGACAGUUGUUGCGUGCACUAGCUUACUGAAACAAAUGCAGGUAUCAAGUGCUUGGACUCCAUGUGCUGUUUCCCGGAAGGAGAAGCAGCGUGUGCAUCUGUUGGAAGAAUGCUGGAACGAGUUAUAGGAAGAUGUAGUC